AGCGCAGGAAUGGAGUCUGGAGUAUGCACAGACUCACUCCCAUAAGAAAACACAGGCCCAGUGCCAAAUGGCUCCACCCAAAUAUCUGAGAUGUUACUAAUUUGAUAAGAGCCCUUUUCCUGUUUUUGACUAGUGUGUGCAGUUGCUCAAGUUAUCUGCGCUCAGUUCUCACAAAAAGCACUCCUAGUGACACGGAGCAUGUCUGCAGGGCAAAAAUGAACGGGUAAUCGCAGCACAGACACAUGAAGUUGAGAUCGCACCAGAACCUGGCAUUUUAGGACAACUGAAUGCAGUCAUCUGGUCAGCUGCGCUCCUAAGUUAGAAGUAUUGAUCUUCAUGAUUUGAGAACAGCCAGUGUUUCCGGCCUCUGCUGCCCACCCGCAGCAGAAUUAGCGUGUUACACCCUUGAGAGUGGGGAACAGCAGCGCGGAACGAUGCGACAGCUACUGCCCAGCAAGACAGCUAGGAAGACGCGUGCACGCUUUGUUUCAAAGUCUCAUGUUGUUAAGCCCUCGGAAUUUGUCUUACUCGAAGACCACGCAGCCUGGAGGGAUUCUCGAUACUGAGAGUGCGAGGGGGCCCGGGCCGGAGCGGUAGCGCUGUGAGGUGAGGGAGCGCAGCCCUGAGACCUGCUGGGGGAGACGGCCCCGCUGCGCGAGGGGAGACGCCACGCCGUGUCCCGACCAGCAGAACUGGCGUGUUCACCAAGGCCCACUUGGCAGGGAGGCAGAGCAGAAGAAAAUUCAGCUGUUUCAGUGCUAAACCGUGUGGAGUUUUUCCACUAUGCUGGAGAGAACUCCAGACAGCCUUUUCUGCCUGUGUUACGUAAGGAAGCUGGAUUACAGCUGGGGAUCUGUCCCUAUAUUUUUAAGUGACUGAUGCUCAAGGAUAGAAAAAACUUUUUUUUUUUCUUUUUUUUUUUUCUUUUUGUAAAUUUAGAAAUGAAUUAGCCUAGUACUUGCUGUUCUCAUUUUCUAUUGCUAUCAGUGGGAGAGAGAUUUCUUAGCACCUCAAAGGGCCUGGAAACUCAACUCGAAGUUCAACAAAAACCGUAGUUUUGAGGAAGAUGCGACAUAAAACUGCAGGUCACAUUGUGCUGCUGGAUUUAAUGUAAAGCUCUUCGUUAAAGAGAAUCAAAGAAAAAUGACAGGAUACAUUACUCUCUUAGGCACAUUCAAAAGCGUGAUGCCAAAGAGGGUUUAAAAAUACAGAGAAUCCUCCUGUCACAAAAUACUUCCCAGGAUAGUUUAACACAGUGCAAAGAAGCUACCAGAAAGUACAUCUUGUACCAGUUGGGCAUUAAUUUGUACUGUUAUAAACAACUGAGUUUUAUUGAGAAAAUAGUAAUGAGAAAUAAAUGCCUGCUAUAAAAUGUG
Molecule: long non-coding RNA, 1376 nt
Organism: Rhea pennata
Lineage: Eukaryota; Metazoa; Chordata; Aves; Rheiformes; Rheidae
Exons: 3
Source: RefSeq, a predicted model, not a curated record